This 404-nucleotide long non-coding RNA is filed under the name Homo sapiens (human). RNAcentral describes it as "non-protein coding lnc-FAM212B-4:1". Lineage: Eukaryota; Metazoa; Chordata; Mammalia; Primates; Hominidae. The record is from RNAcentral.
AUCUGGUCCUGCCCGACGCCACUUCCACCCCGCGAGCUCUGGGAAAGGUCUCUACGUGACGCCAAGGGCCGUCGCGGCCCCGGGGAGAGGGAUCGAAAGACUCACUCUGCGAGGUGUUUACACUGGAGGUGGGGGACGGGAAGGGACUGGGCAAAGUUACCUGGACUCAACUAAAUUCCUGCGCUUGCUUAGUGUUGACAUUUGAAUAGGAUCCGAGAUGUUCUGCUUUUAUCCCGGGCAGCCCUGAUAUGUCAGCAACAGGCUGAGGUUCCAGACCUGAAAUCGCACUGCAAGAAAAAGGGUUUGCUGAACUAACUCCAAGCUGGUGUGCCUAGCGUCCGCGCGGCUGCCGGCCCAAGAGCUGGAGUCACCAUGGCGGCCGGAGUUGCGGCCUGGCUGCCUUU